CUUGAUAGGUAUGAUUUAUGGCUUUGAGCAUAUGUUUGUGAAUAAAAAAGUGUUUAACCAUAGAAAUUACCUCAUUACCAAUAAUAUCCCAACAUUGCUGAUAAAAAGCUGCUUGAAAUCCAUCAUUUCCUGAAGAUGUCCAAGGUCUGAUCUGAAAAACUGCAUCCUUGAUUUCUUGAGCAUCCGAUAUCUGGAUAAGAGAAUCAUUCUGAGUUGUAGAAAUAGAUGGAGGGAAAAUGUAACGACCCGAAUAAUUUUGUUGGGCUUUGAGCUCUAGCACAACCAAUAUUUGACUGGAACUCGCUCUCCGUUUACGAUUAAGGAUUUUGAAACGCAAAGAGUACGAAGAAAAGUUGUGGCAGUAAGCCGGGAGAGCUUACGGGAGCAUUAGCGCUAUGAAAGUUGGUAUUCUCAUACUUUUUGAUGUGUAUAUCAGGGGGUACCUGGGAGUUUAGUUUGUUUGCCUUGAUCCCAUAUCAUUUUGUAUAUUUUGCUGUUAUCAUUGGGAUUUUGGACAUGAUCUCAAUAUGGUCUGUAACAAAAAAAAAAACUUGUCUGUUUCGUAUACAAUGGUUUUGGUCUUGGGUAUUAAGUGCUUGUCUAAUUUUGUUAAAACUCUUGAACUUGAUUAAUUUUGCUGCUUAUAGUUUAGUUUACUGUAUUUUAUGUACAAUAUGUCUUUUACCUUGACAUGAAUUUACUAAGUUAUCAAGGGUGUUAGCCUAAGUUUUUAAUUUCCAGUAUCUACAAGUCAUUUGUUUGGAACUUCAUAGAUGACAACAAACUUUGUUUUCAUGGUUUACCACUUAAAGGGAAUUCUUCUUGUA
This is a long non-coding RNA of Papaver somniferum (opium poppy), 827 nucleotides long. RefSeq lists it as uncharacterized. The record is from RefSeq and is a predicted model, not a curated record. NCBI's taxonomy places the organism in Eukaryota, Viridiplantae, Streptophyta, Magnoliopsida, Ranunculales, Papaveraceae. The transcript has 2 exons.